UAUGGUAAUUGUGUGCCGCGGUAAUACGGAAGGUCCGGGCGUUAUCCGGAUUUAUUGGGUUUAAAGGGAGCGUAGGCCGGAGAUUAAGCGUGUUGUGAAAUGUAGAUGCUCAACAUCUGCACUGCAGCGCGAACUGGUUUCCUUGAGUACGCACAAAGUGGGCGGAAUUCGUGGUGUAGCGGUGAAAUGCUUAGAUAUCACGAAGAACUCCGAUUGCGAAGGCAGCUCACUGGAGCGCAACUGACGCUGAAGCUCGAAAGUGCGGGUAUCGAACAGG
Molecule: ribosomal RNA, 277 nt
Filed under: Segatella copri DSM 18205
Lineage: Bacteria; Pseudomonadati; Bacteroidota; Bacteroidia; Bacteroidales; Prevotellaceae
Description: Prevotella copri DSM 18205 partial 16S ribosomal RNA
Rfam family: Bacterial small subunit ribosomal RNA
Source: RNAcentral